This 76-nucleotide transfer RNA is filed under the name Desulfovibrio sp. RNAcentral describes it as "tRNA-His". It matches the Rfam family "tRNA". From Rfam's summary of the family: Transfer RNA (tRNA) molecules are approximately 80 nucleotides in length. Their secondary structure includes four short double-helical elements and three loops (D, anti-codon, and T loops). RNAcentral also lists the same sequence under 2 other names. Lineage: Bacteria; Pseudomonadati; Thermodesulfobacteriota; Desulfovibrionia; Desulfovibrionales; Desulfovibrionaceae. The record is from RNAcentral.
GCGGAAGUAGCUCAGUUGGCAGAGCACCUGGUUGUGGCCCAGGUGGCCGAGGGUUCAAGUCCCUUCUUUCGCCCCA